This 425-nucleotide ribosomal RNA is filed under the name uncultured bacterium. RNAcentral's name for it is "partial 16S ribosomal RNA". It matches the Rfam family "Bacterial small subunit ribosomal RNA", at positions 354 to 796 of the family's 1533-position model. The record is from RNAcentral.
GUGGGGAAUAUUGGACAAUGGGGGGAACCCUGAUCCAGCCAUGCCGCGUGUGUGAAGAAGGCCUUAGGGUUGUAAAGCUCUUUCGUGGGGGAAGAUAAUGACUGUACCCCAAGAAGAAGCCCCGGCUAACUCCGUGCCAGCAGCCGCGGUAAUACGGAGGGGGCUAGCGUUGUUCGGAAUUACUGGGCGUAAAGCGCACGUAGGCGGACUGGAAAGUCAGGGGUGAAAUCCCGGGGCUCAACCCCGGAACUGCCUUUGAAACUCCCAGUCUUGAGUUCGAGAGAGGUGAGUGGAAUUCCGAGUGUAGAGGUGAAAUUCGUAGAUAUUCGGAGGAACACCAGUGGCGAAGGCGGCUCACUGGCUCGAUACUGACGCUGAGGUGCGAAAGCGUGGGGAGCAAACAGGAUUAGAUACCCUUGUAGUCC